This 327-nucleotide long non-coding RNA is filed under the name Gallus gallus (chicken). The record is from RNAcentral. Lineage: Eukaryota; Metazoa; Chordata; Aves; Galliformes; Phasianidae.
GCCAUUGUCAAAGAAACCACUCUGCCAUUGCCCUUUUUGACUUGGAUUUGGGCGUCCAGCCAGCAUCCAGCGAGGAUCAUAGGGAGUCUUGGUAGGAACGAAGUCUAUGGUUCUGUCUAUAGGAUCCUUGACCUUGAGGAUAGGAACAGGGCUGUAUACGCUCUUGGGCAUGUAGGAAAGCCACAGCAGGAUAGUGUAGACUCCUUCAAAAUCGUCGCACACGGUGCCGUGGGUCACCCCGUUGUUGUGCAUGAUCUGGAUCCCGCCCAGCUGGUUGUUGGAGGUGUACACCUCCCGUCCCAGCACCUUGUUGAGGGCUCCACAGCC